This 464-nucleotide ribosomal RNA is filed under the name uncultured soil bacterium. RNAcentral's name for it is "bacterial SSU rRNA". It matches the Rfam family "Bacterial small subunit ribosomal RNA", at positions 26 to 518 of the family's 1533-position model. The record is from RNAcentral.
AGAGCGAACGCUGGCGGCAGGCCUAACACAUGCAAGUCGAACGGACUCUUCGGAGUUAGUGGCGGACGGGUGAGUAACACGUGGGAACGUGCCUUUUGGUUCGGAAUAGCUCCUGGAAACGGGUGGUAAUGCCGAAUGUGCCCCCUCCUUUGAUCGGGGGGGUGGAAAGAUUUAUCGCCAUUAGAGCGGCCCGCGUCUGAUUAGCUAGUUGGUGAGGUAAAGGCUCACCAAGGCACGAUCAGUAGCUGGUCUGAGAGGAUGACCAGCCACAUUGGGACUGAGACACGGCCCAAACUCCUACGGGAGCAGCAGUGGGAAUCUUGCGCAAUGGGCAAAGCCUGACGCAGCCAUGCCGCGUGAAUGAUGAAGGUCUUAGGAUUAGUAAAAAUACUUUCGAACCGGGACGAAUAACGACGGUAACCCGGAAGAAGAACGACCCCGGCUAACUUCGUGCCAGCAGCCGC